UUGGAAUUAUGAGGACCUGAGUUUGAUCC
Molecule: non-coding RNA, 29 nt
Filed under: Rattus norvegicus (Norway rat)
Lineage: Eukaryota; Metazoa; Chordata; Mammalia; Rodentia; Muridae
Source: RNAcentral